RNAcentral lists this ribosomal RNA (490 nucleotides) under Staphylococcus aureus. RNAcentral describes it as "bacterial SSU rRNA". It matches the Rfam family "Bacterial small subunit ribosomal RNA", at positions 1013 to 1502 of the family's 1533-position model. The record is from RNAcentral. Lineage: Bacteria; Bacillati; Bacillota; Bacilli; Caryophanales; Staphylococcaceae.
UUCCCCUUCGGGGGACAAAGUGACAGGUGGUGCAUGGUUGUCGUCAGCUCGUGUCGUGAGAUGUUGGGUUAAGUCCCGCAACGAGCGCAACCCUUAAGCUUAGUUGCCAUCAUUAAGUUGGGCACUCUAAGUUGACUGCCGGUGACAAACCGGAGGAAGGUGGGGAUGACGUCAAAUCAUCAUGCCCCUUAUGAUUUGGGCUACACACGUGCUACAAUGGACAAUACAAAGGGCAGCGAAACCGCGAGGUCAAGCAAAUCCCAUAAAGUUGUUCUCAGUUCGGAUUGUAGUCUGCAACUCGACUACAUGAAGCUGGAAUCGCUAGUAAUCGUAGAUCAGCAUGCUACGGUGAAUACGUUCCCGGGUCUUGUACACACCGCCCGUCACACCACGAGAGUUUGUAACACCCGAAGCCGGUGGAGUAACCUUUUAGGAGCUAGCCGUCGAAGGUGGGACAAAUGAUUGGGGUGAAGUCGUAACAAGGUAGCCG